This 1140-nucleotide ribosomal RNA is filed under the name Vibrio parahaemolyticus. RNAcentral's name for it is "bacterial LSU rRNA". It matches the Rfam family "Bacterial large subunit ribosomal RNA", at positions 372 to 1526 of the family's 2925-position model. Lineage: Bacteria; Pseudomonadati; Pseudomonadota; Gammaproteobacteria; Vibrionales; Vibrionaceae. The record is from RNAcentral.
CCCGUAGUUGACGACGUGUGUUCAGUGAAAUCGAGUAGGGCGGGACACGUGAUAUCCUGUCUGAAUAUGGGGGGACCAUCCUCCAAGGCUAAAUACUACUGACUGACCGAUAGUGAACCAGUACCGUGAGGGAAAGGCGAAAAGAACCCCUGUGAGGGGAGUGAAAUAGAACCUGAAACCGUGUACGUACAAGCAGUAGGAGCAGGCUUUGUCCUGUGACUGCGUACCUUUUGUAUAAUGGGUCAGCGACUUAUAUUCAGUGGCAAGGUUAACCAUCUAGGGGAGCCGUAGGGAAACCGAGUCUUAACUGGGCGUUCAGUCUCUGGAUAUAGACCCGAAACCAGGUGAUCUAGCCAUGGGCAGGUUGAAGGUUGAGUAACAUCAACUGGAGGACCGAACCGACUAAUGUUGAAAAAUUAGCGGAUGACUUGUGGCUAGGGGUGAAAGGCCAAUCAAACCUGGAGAUAGCUGGUUCUCCCCGAAAGCUAUUUAGGUAGCGCCUCGGACGAAUACUACUGGGGGUAGAGCACUGUUAAGGCUAGGGGGUCAUCCCGACUUACCAACCCUUUGCAAACUCCGAAUACCAGUAAGUACUAUCCGGGAGACACACGGCGGGUGCUAACGUCCGUCGUGGAGAGGGAAACAACCCAGACCGCCAGCUAAGGUCCCAAAUUACUACUAAGUGGGAAACGAUGUGGGAAGGCUCAGACAGCCAGGAUGUUGGCUUAGAAGCAGCCAUCAUUUAAAGAAAGCGUAAUAGCUCACUGGUCGAGUCGGCCUGCGCGGAAGAUGUAACGGGGCUAAGUAGUAAACCGAAGCUGCGGCAAUAUACUUUUGUAUAUUGGGUAGGGGAGCGUUCUGUAAGCGGUUGAAGGUGUGUGGUAACGCAUGCUGGACGUAUCAGAAGUGCGAAUGCUGACAUGAGUAACGAUAAAGGGGGUGAAAAACCUCCUCGCCGGAAGACCAAGGGUUCCUGUCCAACGUUAAUCGGGGCAGGGUAAGUCGACCCCUAAGGCGAGGCCGAAAGGCGUAGUCGAUGGGAAACGGGUUAAUAUUCCCGUACUUCUUACAAUUGCGAUGGGGGGACGGAGAAGGCUAGGUGGGCCUGGCGACGGUUGUCCAGGUUCAAGUGCGUAGGCU